AGUGCCUCGCUUGCGGGGAUAUGGCGAUAAACGCGCAUGUAAUAAGCGGUUCGGACCCGGGGGCGGUACCCGGCGACUCCACCAAUCACCCUGUCAUUUGCAGGGCGGACGGGGUCGAAACAGUAUCGACGGACGUCUAAAGAUGUAGCCUUCGCUCGGUGAGAUACCACCGUUAUCGGUUCGCAAAGUAUAGUUGCAAAUGACAACCAUGCUCCGGUCGCAGUCGCCGCGUAAGCGGUGCCUAAGAUCGAAACUUAAGUCCUUGCGCCUAGCCGCGUAAGGCGGGGUUCGCAGGCACCUGGCAACAGAAGCCUG
Molecule: transfer-messenger RNA, 315 nt
Filed under: Pontivivens nitratireducens
Lineage: Bacteria; Pseudomonadati; Pseudomonadota; Alphaproteobacteria; Rhodobacterales; Paracoccaceae
Description: Alphaproteobacteria transfer-messenger RNA
Rfam family: Alphaproteobacteria transfer-messenger RNA
About the family: Bacterial tmRNA, also known as 10Sa RNA or SsrA, is named for its dual tRNA and mRNA-like properties. Its role is to liberate the mRNA from a stalled ribosome.
Source: RNAcentral